Molecule: RNA transcript, 4263 nt
Organism: Paramacrobiotus metropolitanus
Lineage: Eukaryota; Metazoa; Tardigrada; Eutardigrada; Parachela; Macrobiotidae
Gene name: E3 ubiquitin-protein ligase parkin-like
Exons: 14
Source: RefSeq, a predicted model, not a curated record
UCAUGCGGGCAGUACCGCUAUACGUUAUGAGAAAAAACUAUGAGUCUAUAACAAUACAAAUUAUAUCUCCGUAAAAAGAUUAUUAUUUAAUUUUGAGAUUCAUGUUCUGUGUGAUUUUAAUUUUUUACUCGACUACGGCGACGUAUAGUGGACAUUGAUGGCCAGCGAUAUGAAAUUAUGAAUCGCGCGCGGCGAGCAGGAAACGACUGAAAGGAUUAUGCUUCGGCCGUCUCGCCUUGUUAAUAUUGUCAAUUAUGGAGAUGGAUGAUGGAGUUUCAGUUGUCGGUGCGUAUCGCUGGGAAAGAAUCGCUUGACGUCCGCAUCGCGAACAGCGCCACAGUAAGAGACCUGAAAAGGGUUAUUUUCCAACAAGCGCCAUACUUCAAUAAGGAAACUAACGGUGGCGACCAGAACGGAGCAGCUAACGAUAUUAUUAUCACGUUUGCUGGCGAAGUUUUGGCGGACGACAGCGUUUUGAAGGACACAUCGCUUCGUGAUUGCACAAUUCUUCAUGCUGUCCCAUGUCGAAAUCCAGCACUGUGCACGGAUCAAGCAUGUAUCAACGAGGAUGCCUCGGGAAAGAGCGAUUUAAUUCCAGUGGAACAGGCUAGGAAAUUUAACUGCACCUUUUAUGGAUAUUGCAAGGACGUUUGCGCAGCAUUGGUGCCAGCUUUGCUGCGCUUUUCGUGUAGCUUUUGCGAUUCAACAAACAUCGUAAUAAAAACGGCAACAGUCUGUCAGGAAUGGGACCGCAUAUGUUCCCGACAAGUGGCAUUACCGGCUCACUGUUAUGGAAGAUGUGGAGGGGCAUCGGCUAAUUUAUUUUUUAAAUGUGCGGCACAUCCAAGUAGGAGUGAUUUUGACCAAAUUGUUUACCUGCGUCAAGUUUUGUUGAAUGAACACGACAUCCCGUGUGUGACAUGCGAAUCUGUCAGUUCGCUCGUGGUGGAUUUUCUCUGUGACCCGACUCAUGUUCUGUGUCUGGACUGUUUUGUCCAGUAUGGCUCUAUUCUCGUCACAGAACGGAGAUUUUAUUGGCAAGAACAGACGGGUUGUGUCAUUCCUUGUCCGGUUGGCUGUCGCCAUGGAUUUAUCCACGAUCCGCAUCACUUCUACUUACUUGGUAGAAAGCUGUACGAGAAGUUUAAAGAUUUUGCGGCGGAAGAGCGUUUUGUUAGAGAAGGCGGGAUAUUCUGCUCGGAAGUGGCGUGCAACACUGCAUUUGUGGAUUUAGCCGACAGCGUUUUCGCGUCCUGUCCGAAGGGUCAUAGAUACUGCCGGACUUGUCGAGAUAAAAUUCACAGUGGAGGUUGCGAUGAGCCUGUUAUCUGGACGAAAGGAAUUCUAUCGACCUUUGCCUCGCAAGAUCCAAGCCGAACAGAUAUCAGAUCUCGCUUAACGAUCGCCAACACGACCAAAUCUUGUCCUGGAUGUCAUACACCAGUGGAACGGAAUGGUGGUUGCAUGCAUAUUACAUGUACUCGGUGUCGGAAAGAAUUUUGCUGGAUUUGUUUGGCUGAGUGGAAUAUUAACUGCAUGAGUCGGCAUUGGUUCGGAUGAGAAUACGCCAAUAUACACGUGUGCCCAUCGAAAGUUGCGUUGGCGAAAAGAUUUUUGGGUUAAUUGUACUGAAUGUUCAGUAUACAAAAUAUGCUGUAUUUUUCGUUCCGCCACAAAUGCCAUUUUCCAUUUCUUAAGCUUCAACACUGGCGUCAGCAUUUCAGUCUUGCAGAAUGCAGAUUACCAAAUCGAAGAAGCGUCCAACAAGCAUGCAAAAGCAUAAUCAAGUUCUCCUCGUGGUACGCUCAGCUGCAGCAAGAAACGAUUAUGAUCAGGAAGGCAUCAUGUCACCCAUCGGGUGAGCAGUUAAAAAACUUAUCUGAAGUAUCAGACGUUUUUUCAAAAACACCAACCGGCAUGACUGCACCUUCCAUCAUAUGUCAUAGUUGCUGUGCUAUUCAAAGGUUCAGUAGAAUGGUCACUUCUAUACUGUAUCACAAUCCACAUCGACGCAAUGUGAAACAAAUAAAACCACAACUUACCAGUUAGGACUAUAUGCGAUCAGCGGAUUAACAUCUGGUUUGUCGGGAAGACGACAAUGCAUGAAUACCACUAAUAUUGUAUUGUUAUUACUAAUACGAGCUAAUGGCAGCCUGCGUGAGCACUUGUCACUGUGUGAAAUCUAUUUAAGCGUUCGUUGUCGUUAACUGCCUCUGUUUUUGUCUACCUGAUCCAGAAUCCUUUGCUCUUCAUCGUCAUAUUUUUUUAUCUAGGGCAGAUGCAGAUGCGUACCGUUAACUUGGCAGCAAAUUACUGGGACGGCGAGAUUGUUCUUUGUUUUAGGAGAGGCUUAUGCAUUAUUGGCUGGCAGCCAAAAGCCGACUUCUGUUAGUGGUUUUUAGCCGGCUUUUGUUAUGCAGUACAUAGCCUGCUGUACAUAUGCAGACUGUCUACAUACCAAAUUUCUGUAGUUAGUAAAUACCAAAACACCGGCUGAAGACGAAGAGCAUCCAUCCAUCGGAUAAUUUUCUUACGUUUAGUUAUGCGUUUUCUAAAUUUUUACAUUAAUUCGUUUUCUCAUUCCCUUCGCUGCUGUUCAGUAUUGUCUGGAUCCACGUGAUUAGCGCUUCCAUGUUUAACAUCAUGGCAACGUUACGGUUCGUUAUUGUUACCGUGCCAUUACUGAUAUUAUUACUGGAGACAGAGUUUUCCGCCUCAGUUCCUUUACGGCGGUCGAUUCCGGAAGAUUCGAAGAAUCUGCACAAUUUUUCCAUCAAUCUCCUUUUCGGCGUAGGUUGGAGAGAUUCACCUGGCGCUGUCCAGCCGAACCAAACGAUACAUUUUGAUAUUAGGCUUUUGGGAAUUCAUCCUCAAUUGUCCUGCACAGUUGUUGCUGCAAAAGGAGCACUCGUCUACUGGGAAAAGGAUGGUCAACGUUUCCAAGACAGAAGCGGACGAAUUUACGUGGUAGAGACCAAACCAGAUGCAGAGUCGGAAGGUGAAGGUUCUUUCACGGUCAAAUUGGACUUUUACGAUUUUCGGCCAGAAGAUGCGGGAAAAUAUCGAUGCGUUGUGGAUUCCACUCCUGGAAAAGGCAACCGCCCUUUACGCCGCAGUUCACCGGUAUACUUUACAGCGGUCGUACCCGAUGAUAGAACUCAGCCUCGGGACCUGCGGGUUAGAAACAGUUAUCGAACUGAAGGCACUGCGAAAUUUCUUUGGGAUCGACCAGCAACCGGAGGUGUUAUGGGUUAUGUAGUGUGUCUUAUGACCGUUGAUACCCCGGUCAGCUGCCGCGAAAAAACAUCCUACAUGCACGAAAAACCAGAGCGGGAAUGGUUGCUGAAAGGUUUGAAACCAAGGGCACAGUAUAUGGUUGACGUAGUGGCUAUUGUAAAAGGAGACGAAGACAAAGGAGAAUGGGGGAAGCACACAAAUAUUACUUUUAGAACCUUCGAUGCUAACCAAAUUGACCCUUCCGCCCCCGAAGAAUUUGAGCGUGACGAUGAGUUUAACGUUCCGGUGAACAGACCUUUAGAAAAACUUCGCCUGCUGACGACUCCUGAAUUUAUGAAGACUUUUGCCAGUUCAACAUCGUUGCCAUCAGCGGUUACCGCGCCUGCUGACCGUGUUGAUUACAUGCAGUUGCUGAUGAUCUGUGUGCCAUGCCUCGUCGUUUUUUUUAUUUUGUUGAUAAUCAUUAUACUGCUGGUGAUGCGACACAAUCACAGGAAACAUCGCCGCAUUCCACAGGACAACGAUGGACGCGUUUCUCGUGUUCGCGUGGAAGAAUCCCAAGUUGAACUUCGGGCCGUGCCCAAUGCAUAUGCGGCAUAUCCCGUCACAACUGCUGGAUUGUACCCGGAUUUAUCACCAAGCGCACCUUCUGCAUAAUCGGCAUGGACCGCAUGGCCAAAAUGGCAUGAUGACAUUAUCUUUGUCCUUACGCUUUUUAGUGUAUCUAGGAGAGCAGUGUAAUUAAUUUUGUAAUUAAGUGAAUGACCAAAGAUAUGCUCACUCGCACAGUUAGUAGUACUUAGUACCAUUUCCACGCUCGGAAUGUUUUUAGGAUGAAUACCAAAACAGUGUGUGCAGGUAUUGUAAGUUGUUGGCGAUGACCUUUGUUGCGGUUUGACGUUACGGUGCUGUUCUUAAAUUUGGUAAUUACUGUUAUUUACCAGAGCUUGUUGUUGAUUUGGUAAUUACUGAUAUUUACCAGAGUUUGUUUAAAUCUGAAGUAAAUAACCUUGAUUAAUAUUGAGA